UAGAGAGAAGACUGUUACCGUGUGACAUACCAAGACUUGUAUUUGAAAACUGAGAAACUGAAAUACAUUCCAAACUAACAAUGAAAGACGGUGGCGACUGACCCCUGAGGAUGAAAGGUAUCCGUAUUACCUCGAAUUUGUCAAGCUUGUAACAAACUCAACAUUUUACAAUUUUGAUUUGCUGACUCCCUUCCAAAAGGAUCCAACUUUAAGGGAUGUCGAUAUGGGACAACUAGCAGUGGAGGUUCAUCCAAACCUUUCCGGAACUUUGGUGACGAUAGAAC
Leptinotarsa decemlineata (Colorado potato beetle) is the source of this 284-nucleotide long non-coding RNA. NCBI's taxonomy places the organism in Eukaryota, Metazoa, Arthropoda, Insecta, Coleoptera, Chrysomelidae. The record is from RefSeq and is a predicted model, not a curated record.